This 179-nucleotide ribosomal RNA is filed under the name Ruellia cyanea. RNAcentral describes it as "5.8S ribosomal RNA". The stretch from base 30 to 179 matches the Rfam family "5.8S ribosomal RNA". Rfam says of the family: 5.8S ribosomal RNA (5.8S rRNA) is a component of the large subunit of the eukaryotic ribosome. It is transcribed by RNA polymerase I as part of the 45S precursor that also contains 18S and 28S rRNA. The record is from RNAcentral. RNAcentral also lists the same sequence under 1 other name. Lineage: Eukaryota; Viridiplantae; Streptophyta; Magnoliopsida; Lamiales; Acanthaceae.
GGUACGGUGCGUAUCUUGAAUGUCAAAACGACUCUCGGCAACGGAUAUCUCGGCUCUCGCAUCGAUGAAGAACGUAGCGAAAUGCGAUACUUGGUGUGAAUUGCAGAAUCCCGUGAACCAUCGAGUCUUUGAACGCAAGUUGCGCCCGAAGCCUUCGGGCCGAGGGCACGCCUGCCUGG